Molecule: long non-coding RNA, 2597 nt
Organism: Balaenoptera ricei (Rice's whale)
Lineage: Eukaryota; Metazoa; Chordata; Mammalia; Artiodactyla; Balaenopteridae
Exons: 3
Source: RefSeq, a predicted model, not a curated record
ACUAUGAGUUUCUAGGCCUUAUACCUAAUACCAGUGCCACAAAGGCAUUUUAAGAUUGAAUUCCAUUGACAUGAUUCUGACUUUCACAAGACCCCGUGGAGAUGAUCUGUACAUUGUAUCUUCUAGAAUGAUUUGACUUUAGCCCUUUCACUAUGGUAUGAUAGGAGAAAUCCAGGAUACUUAGAUGGAAGCUUCCUUUUUCCUUCCAUUGCUCUCAAUGUGUGUCAGACCUUCCCACCUAUGACUGGAUGGCUGCAACUUCCUUAGGUGACUGCACCCCUAUGAGAAGGUGGGUCAGGUCCAUUAUGGUCACUGGAAACCCGCAGUGCUAGAGAGACAAGAUAAGGUCAAGCAAGCUGAGGUCAGCACAGGUCUCGCUGGAAAGAGAGGUGUGCUCUCCUUAGAAUGAGACUGGCAAGUCUGACCUGGCAUUCGGCAACAUUCUGGACCUCAAACUUGGCAAACAGGAAAGGUCUUGAUGUGAGUCUAAUAAGCACUAAUAAUUAAGGGAUGUGUGUGGCAGUGCAUCCUCAUACGUGAAAUUGAUGAAGAGACUUUGCAGCUGAGGAUUAUCCUGGCUACACCAAGACUAACAAAGAAAUGAAGGAACAAAGCCCAUGAACCCAGGAGACGUGGAAGUUACUCAGACAUAAGGACAGAUCAUCUUAAUUACAAAUUGCAAAUACAAAAGACAAUAUAUGGGAUCCUAAAGCAAGGAAAUUGAUCUACUCCCAAUGCCGAGCACAAUGCGUGGAAGACAAGGUUUGCACAAGAGAUAAGUAAUGCUCCGCUGAAUGAGAGGUCCAGAGUCAGCUCACUUCCUGGGCACGUGCCUCAUCGCACACACUCACGAUGGAUUGGCAAUGCCUCUUUUACUGAAUAAUGACUACCUUUUAUAUUGCAAAAUCUCACUCUUAAUCAAUUCACAGAAACUCAGAACCUUUUCCAAAUAGAAACAGUCCAUCUGAACGGUGGUAAACAAGAUGUUGAAGUCUGCAAAAUGGAAAACAAAUUAUGCAGAGGAAUUGUGUGCAAUGACUUAGAAAGAAAAAAAAAAAAAGGACACUUUUUAACCCACUCCUGCUUCUUUAAUUGUUUUGGCAUAUGGGAAUCAGAGAGUCACGCAGGUAAGCAAAUGUUAACUUUCCAGAAGCCUGCCACUUGGAGGCUCAGAUCCAUGUUUGGUGUAGCUUCAUGCUGCAGCCAAGCCGCAAUAGCACAAAGCAAGUACGUGUUGUUAUGUGUGAAAUGACUGAAGGUGGUUUUGAACUUUUCACUGAAGUGAGUGUCAUGGGUUAAAGACUUCCACCAAGACUGCAAUGAACCACCACAAAACCGUCUCUAGAAUUCAGCCUAUCGCUCCUAACUGAGGUUGGAUACCCCUAGAGGAUUACAAAGUGAUAUUUGACAGCAAAGACUUUUGCAGUAUCAUUUGUUUGGGUUAUUAAGAGUGAACAUAUAUAUUAUAAAUGUUUCCUUUUUUUUUUUUAUUGCUUUCCCAUACUUUUAUCAGUUUGGAAGGAAAACUUCAGAAAAAUACUGUGAUUAGAGUCAGUAAAUUUUCUGCAGAGAGUUUAAUGGGAUAGUUAAAAUUUCUUAAAUAAAGCAUUGUCUCUCACCGCAGACAUGGCCGUUCUCCCAGUUAUGGAUGGAAGGAGACUGCUAAAAGCACUACAACCCUGCGAAUACCCAAAGCAGUACCGAAAAUCACUGAUGCUGUCAUGUUUCACAGAUGCAGCCGCUGAGGCUGGUAGAGGAUAAAUAACAACCCCCGGGUCACACUGCACUGGUAGCAAGUGACAGAACCAUACUUAGAUUCCAGAUGCUCGAACUCUAAACCACUAUGUUACAUUUAUUCAACAGAUAUUUCCCGAGUUCCCAGUUAUUUCUUAGUCCGUAUAUGAUACUGCUCAUAUUGGUGGUUGAAUCGUACAAUAUCAGACAUAGCUCUGCUCUUAAGAUGCUUCUCCUAUUGUCAGGGAAGAUAAGACAUGUUUCCACAAAAACUCACCAAAAUAGAAGGCAGUAAACAAGAUGUGAAGACUUAAGAGGUAGGCAUUUUAAACAAGGUAGGCUCACGUUUUGGGCCCCAAUCACUUGUCUUUUGAAGCAUAAAACAUGAUAUUGAUAAAAGAAAUGUUCACAUAUUGAAGUAUGGGGAAGUCUUUCUGGCUUAUACAUGAGUUAACUUGAACUUUAUGCUAACUAAAACAGCCUGUUUGUGGCCUAUCAAACGCACAUUGUACAUCUGCUGGAAUUAUUAAAAGAAAGGGCGCAUUGACCAGAGGUAAAAAAAUGUCCACGUUAAAAAUGAAGAUCAAAUGCCUUCCUUCCUGGGAUGCCAAGGCCGGGACUCCUUCCAUGAUGACUCCCUUCCCCGGGGCCAAGGCCAUCCUGACUCACUGUGUAGGUGCUGAUCUCUUUUGCUGAAACCUUGAAGGAAUGUAUCUCUGACUUGUUUGGUGUUAUUUGUUCUGACAAGAUGUAAAACUGUGCUGAAACCGUGCUUCCCUGGAGCAGUUCCUCAGAGUUAUAUGAGAGGCUGGCUUCCAGGCUAUAGUCCUCAGCUUGGCUGAAAUAAAACUCCUGUCUGUCUA